Phlebiopsis gigantea 11061_1 CR5-6 is the source of this 82-nucleotide transfer RNA. It matches the Rfam family "tRNA". From Rfam's summary of the family: Transfer RNA (tRNA) molecules are approximately 80 nucleotides in length. Their secondary structure includes four short double-helical elements and three loops (D, anti-codon, and T loops). Further hydrogen bonds mediate the characteristic L-shaped molecular structure. tRNAs have two regions of fundamental functional importance: the anti-codon, which is responsible for specific mRNA codon recognition, and the 3' end, to which the tRNAs corresponding amino acid is attached (by aminoacyl-tRNA synthetases). tRNAs cope with the degeneracy of the genetic code in two manners: having more than one tRNA (with a specific anti-codon) for a particular amino acid; and 'wobble' base-pairing, i.e. permitting non-standard base-pairing at the 3rd anti-codon position. The record is from Rfam. Lineage: Eukaryota; Fungi; Basidiomycota; Agaricomycetes; Polyporales; Phanerochaetaceae.
GCCCGUUUAGCUCAGUGGUAGAGCGCGCCACUCGUAUUGCUUCGUUAUGGUGAGGUCGGUUGUUCAAUCCAGCCAAUGGGCA